UGUAUUAAACUCAAUCAAUCUAGAAGGUCAAGGAAGGCAACCACCGGCCAGCUAGCCACCAGCUGUGACCGACCAGCCACCAGCCGCAGCCGCCAGCCGCCUUCACACCAUUGGCCGCCAGCCGCCUUCACACUUGAAGGUUGAAUUAUCUUGUUUUGAAUUCGUGUAUAAAUAGCAAGCUAAGCUUAUGUUAUUCUGUGGAGAGAGUAGAGAGAAACACUAGAGAGAAAGAGAGAGGGCGUGUAUUGUAAGCUUCUGUGUGUUUGUAAGCUUCUUGUUCUUGUAAUAAAACAGUGUGUUUUAUCCCCUCUGAGUGUUUCAAAGCCACCACCAGUGGUUUCUCCCACCAACAAUUGGUAUCAGAGCCCCGUUCGUCAGAAAACAGAAGUGUUUUUGGGAGAUAUCCGAAUUUUCAAAGUUGUCAAAAACAAGUUUUGAUCAUUCCAACGUGUAGAGCUCAUCCAUACGAACUCACUGCCGCAACAAUCAGCUCAAUCGGACACCGGGGUGAGCUACACGCGCCGACUGAAGAUCCGGUGACUGUAGCCCAGUCGCACCCACGCGCGCCAGAGGAAGAAGACGAGUGACGUCCACGCGCGCCAUAUUUGAGCCGUUAAGCCGCGCCGCGCCGAGCCGAAAGCCGAGCCUCCAGCCGCGCCGAAGAAUAUUCCCAAGAAUAUUCCUUUUUCAAGCCUAGCCGCUAAGCCGAGCCGCUAUUAGCCUAAGCCGAGCCGAUAGAAUAUUCCGCAGAAUAUUCCCGGUUCAACCCAGCGAACCGCCCGACGCCCAGAUUUGGUGUUGUGACCGGUUCACCCAUUUUCGGACCUGAUUUCUACAAAUUCAGACCGGUUCCCGACUAUUUCGACCAUUCCGGAUCGAUCUACAGUGUCCGUUUUGCCAAAUUCAACUCCCAGAAGGAGAUAUAGUCAUUCCAAGAGCAAAAUGACUACAGAAAGUACACAAACACUCAUCCCGAAGCUGACCAAAGACAACUAUGAUAGUUGGUGCAUCAGAUUAAAGGCAUUCCUUGGUUCACAAGAGUGUUUGGAGAUUGUACACUAUGGUUAUGAUGAACCAGAGUUCAAAGAAGAAGAAGAUGCUUUACAAGAGGCACAGAAGCAAGCCUUGAAAGUCAACAGAAAGAAAGACAACAAAGCAAAGACCAUCAUCUACCAAGGUCUUGAUGAAGAUACAUUCGAGAUCAUAGCUUCCGCUGAAACAUCACAUGACAUAUGGGAGGCUCUCCAACAAAAAUACAAAGGUGCUGACAGAAUCAAGAAGAUUCGUCUUCAAUCUUUGCGAGGUGAAUUUGAGUUAUUGCAAAUGAAGUCCUCGGAAUCUAUUUCUGAUUAUCACACAAGGAUUAUGGUGAUAGUCAAUCAGAUGAGGAGAAAUGGAGAAGCCAUCGUCGAUUCUCGAAUUACUGAGAAAAUUUUGAGAUCCCUAGAUCCAAAAUUUGAUUUUGUUGUUGUCGCCAUUGAAGAGUCCAAGGAAGUGGACAAGUUGACAGUUGAUGAGCUUAUGAGUUCUUUGCAAGCUCAUGAGCAGAAGAUUGUAAAGCGAAAUGGAGAUAAGGCAAUUGAGCAUGCCUUACAAGCAAAGCUGUCUCUCAAGGACAGAUAUGAGCAAGGGGAGACUUCAACAAGUGGAUAUACCACUCAAACAGGAAGUCAACAAUCCAGAGGAGGAUUCCAGAGAUUCCAAGGAAGAGGUUCUUGGAAUACAAGCUUUAGAGGAAGAGGUGGUAGAAACACCACCAGAGGAGGUAGAGGACAACAAGCAUUCACUCCUAGAGGAAGAGGAGGCGGUUACAAUAACCGUGACAAGAGGAAUAUCCAAUGUUAUAGUUGCAAUCAAUUUGGGCACUAUAGCACUGAAUGCAGAAGGAAAGCUCCGUUGGAGAUACGUGAGCAAGCCAACUAUGCAGAGAAGGAUGACACAGCAGAAGCUGCAUUUCUUGUCCAACAAGAAUUUGGCGAGAAACAUGAAAAUAUAUGGUAUCUAGAUACUGGAGCCAGCAAUCACAUGUGCGGCUACCGAGAGUUAUUUAGUGAUCUAGAUGAGACCAAACAAGGUCUAGUUACUUUUGGAGAUACCUCAAAGGUUCCGUUCAAAGGUAAAGGCAGCAUCCCAAUCAAGUUGAAGAACGGCGAUUCCAGCUACAUCGCCAAUGUCUAUUAUGUCCCAGCCAUAAAGCAGAACCUGAUCAGCUUAGGUCAACUUUUGGAGAGAGGAUAUACUUUUUACUCGAAGAAUUGUCAUCUGACAAUUAGAGACAACAAUUGGAGAUUAAUGGCCUAUGUGAAAAUGUCCAAGAAUAGGAUGUUUCCUUUGAACAUCCAGUAUGAUGCAGCAAGGUGUUUGAGUGCCAUCACCAACAGUGAAGAAUGGCUUUGGCACCUGAGGCUUGGACAUCUGAAUUUCACAAGUCUGAAGAUGCUAGCAAGCAAGAAGAUGGUCAAAGGUUUGCCUCACAUUGAUCAUCCAGAUGAAGUCUGUGAAAGUUGUGUCCUCAGCAAACAUCACAGAUCCAGUUUUGCCAAAGAAGUCAACCGGAAAGCAAAGAGGCCACUGGAGUUAGUACACACAGAUGUGUGUGGCCCAAUUACGCCUAUGUCGACUGGACAAAAUAGGUACUUCCUCACUUUUAUUGAUGAUUUUAGUAGAAAGACGUGGAUAUACUUUCUGAAGAGGAAGUCAGAAGUAUUCAAUUGUUUUAAAGAUUUUAAAGCAAUUGUGGAGAAGCAAAGUGGCUACAUGAUCAGAAUAGUGAGAUCUGAUCAAGGUGGAGAAUAUACAGCAAAUGACUUUGAAGCCUAUUGUACACAACAAGGCAUCAGACAUCAGACAACACCAGCUUAUACACCACAGCUGAAUGGUGUAGCUGAAAGAAAGAAUCGCACGAUUCUUGACAUGGCAAGAAGUCUGCUCAAAGCAAAGAAGUUGCCCAAGCAAUACUGGGCUGAAGCUGUAUCAUGUGCAGUGUAUCUACUGAAUCGCUGCCCAACCAGAAGUUUGCAAGGAGUCAUUCCAGAAGAAGCAUGGAGUGGUCACAAACCAAGUGUUACUCAUCUACGAGUCUUUGGUUGUGUGGCAUAUGCAAAGAUCCCAGAUGCAAGAAGGAGAAAGCUCGAUGAUAAAAGCGAGAGAUGCAUCUUUGUGGGAUAUGGUGAGAGAAGGAUGGGAUACAAGCUGUAUAAUCCCAUCACGAAGAAGGUGAUUAUGAGUAGAGAUGUUAUCUUUGAAGAAGAUAAAUCUUGGGAAUGGAAUGAUGAUCAAGAAGUAGUCAAAUGGAUCAAUAUGGAUUUGAUCCUUGAAGGUGAAGAAGUACCAACAGUACUUGUCGAAGAACCGAUUGUGCCAGCAGCUGAACCACAAAGUCCGGUGAUUAUACCAACAGCUGAACCACAAAGUCCGGUACACAGAUUCCCUGUAUUCAACAGGAGGAACACACCAGGAGCAUCAUCAUCAACACCAGCAGCAACAUCCUCGUCAGAAGGACCAAGAAGGAUGAGAAAUCUUGAAGAGUUGUACGAUACCACUCAGGUCAUGGAAGAUACAACUCUGUUUUGUUUCUUUGCAGAUAGUGACCCACUAAGCUUCGAUGAAGCUAUCACAGAAGAGAAGUGGAUAGAAGCAAUGGAUGAAGAAAUACAUGCCAUUGAGAAGAAUGAUACCUGGAAGCUGACUUAUCUACCAGAAAACAAGAAAGCAAUAGGUGUCAAAUGGGUUUACAAGACAAAGAAAAAUGCAAAAGGAGAAGUGCAAAGAUACAAAGCCAGAUUAGUGGCUAAAGGCUACAAACAGAGAGAAGGCAUUGACUAUGGAGAAGUAUUUGCUCCAGUAGCCCGGCUAGAGACAAUCAGACUGAUGAUCUCACUAGCUGCACAACAUAGAUGGAAGAUCUAUCAACUCGAUGUGAAGUCAGCAUUUCUGAAUGGCUUCCUAGAAGAAGAGAUCUAUGUUGAACAACCACUUGGAUACAUUGAAGCUGAAAAUAAAGGCAAAGUAUACAAGUUGAAGAAAGCUCUCUACGGUUUGAAGCAAGCUCCGCCUGCUUGGAAUACUAGAAUUGACAGGUAUUUUCAAGAUAAUGGAUUUGAGAAAUGUCCAUAUGAACACGCCAUAUAUGUGAAGAAAGGAGCAAAUGGUAGCAUCUUAUUUGCGUGCCUGUAUGUUGAUGAUUUGAUAUUCACCGGCAACAACCCUACCAUGUUUGACGACUUCAAACAAAACAUGGUACAUGAGUUUGAGAUGACUGACAUUGGUCUAAUGUCACAUUUUCUUGGCUUGGAAGUAACGCAGAAAGAAGAAGGGAUUUUUGUAUCCCAAAGCGGUUACGCCAAAGAUAUUCUUGAAAGGUUCAAGAUGGAAAGCUGCAAUCCGGUAUCAACUCCAGUUGAGAAUGGAGUGGAAUUGAGGAAGAGUAAGGUUGGAAAUGUUGAUCCAACUUACUUCAAAAGCUUAGUAGGAAGCUUAAGGUACUUGACAUGUACCAGACCGGAUAUACUCUACGGAGUCGGACUCGUCAGCAGAUACAUGGAGACGCCAGACCAAUCUCAUUUGAAUGCAGCCAAGAGAAUUCUUCGCUACAUCAAAGGCACAAUGAAUGAAGGUAUGUUUUAUACCUCAAGUAAAGAUUUUAAUCUUGUAGGCUACUCGGAUAGUGAUUGGGGUAGAGAUUUGGAUGAAAGGAAAAGCACAACAGGGUUUGUCUUUUUCAUGGGAGACACAUCUUUCACAUGGUCAUCCAAGAAGCAAUCGAUUGUAACAUUAUCAAGCUGUGAAGCUGAGUAUGUUGCUGCCAACUCAGCCGUAUGCCACUCAAUAUGGUUAAGGAAUAUGCUGAAGUUUUUGGGAUUUCCUCAAGAAAAUCCUACGGGGAUUUAUAUUGACAAUCGAUCAGCAAUCGCAUUGGCAAAGAACCCAGUGUAUCAUGAGAGGAGCAAACACAUUGAUACACGUCAUCACUUUAUCCGGGAACAUGUGAAGAAUGAAGAAGUCCAACUGAUAUCUUGCAACACAAAUGAUCAAGUUGCUGACAUCUUCACAAAGCCAUUAAAAGGAGAAGCAUUUAUCAGAAUGAAGUUCAUGCUUGGCAUGACAUCCCUCGAUUGAGUUUAAAGGGGAGAUUUGUUGUAUUAAACUCAAUCAAUCUAGAAGGUCAAGGAAGGCAACCACCGGCCAGCUAGCCACCAGCUGUGACCGACCAGCCACCAGCCGCAGCCGCCAGCCGCCUUCACACCAUUGGCCGCCAGCCGCCUUCACACUUGAAGGUUGAAUUAUCUUGUUUUGAAUUCGUGUAUAAAUAGCAAGCUAAGCUUAUGUUAUUCUGUGGAGAGAGUAGAGAGAAACACUAGAGAGAAAGAGAGAGGGCGUGUAUUGUAAGCUUCUGUGUGUUUGUAAGCUUCUUGUUCUUGU
Molecule: long non-coding RNA, 5421 nt
Filed under: Populus trichocarpa (black cottonwood)
Lineage: Eukaryota; Viridiplantae; Streptophyta; Magnoliopsida; Malpighiales; Salicaceae
Description: long non-coding RNA (PTRI_LNC004390)
Source: RNAcentral